This is a long non-coding RNA of Balaenoptera ricei (Rice's whale), 635 nucleotides long. RefSeq lists it as uncharacterized. The record is from RefSeq and is a predicted model, not a curated record. Lineage: Eukaryota; Metazoa; Chordata; Mammalia; Artiodactyla; Balaenopteridae. The transcript is spliced from 3 exons.
GAGGACACAGCAAACACCUUCCAGCCGGGUGAAUAGGAGGGAGAUCAGCUUCCUCUUUAGGGUCACCUCCACUAGAUCACGAUGUACUGUUCUUUCCCUUUCCAGCAUGAGUGAGGUUAGACUUCAGGAGAGCUCUGAUCGGUGAAGGAAAUGCAGUGGAACCCACUUUGCUCCAGUCUUCCCGGGCUGAACUUUGCCAGGCCCAGAAGAGUUGGCCAGACAACAGACUCAAAGCUCUGUCAAAACAGGGGCCGUGUUUACUGUGUUCAACACUGUAUAUCCAGCAACUGGUGGGCUCUCUUGCACACAGAAGGAACUAGCUCACAAACUUCACUUGAGGAUCCACUCCUUCACACAUUCUUGGUCCAUGUGAUCUGGAUAGAGCUUCUUCCUCAGCACCAAGAGUCAAGCAUGUGAUCCAGGUCUGUCAACCAAAACACUCCAUGCUCCUGGGUUAUUUGAUCAUGGCCAUGUGACCAACCACAAAGAGUCUGAGAAUGAAUUUUAUACAUCCAAAGACCAAGGAGAGAGAUGGAUAAAAACCAAAACCUCCUGAUGUUAAGUCUUUGUCCUGGACUUUCCAUUGUCAGAGUAAAUAAAUUUCCUUUUCACUUAAGCAGAUUAUUAAAAAAAAA